This 542-nucleotide ribosomal RNA is filed under the name Salmonella enterica subsp. enterica serovar Dublin. RNAcentral describes it as "bacterial LSU rRNA". It matches the Rfam family "Bacterial large subunit ribosomal RNA", at positions 1271 to 1798 of the family's 2925-position model. Lineage: Bacteria; Pseudomonadati; Pseudomonadota; Gammaproteobacteria; Enterobacterales; Enterobacteriaceae. The record is from RNAcentral.
UGCUGGAGGUAUCAGAAGUGCGAAUGCUGACAUAAGUAACGAUAAAGCGGGUGAAAAGCCCGCUCGCCGGAAGACCAAGGGUUCCUGUCCAACGUUAAUCGGGGCAGGGUGAGUCGACCCCUAAGGCGAGGCCGAAAGGCGUAGUCGAUGGGAAACGGGUUAAUAUUCCCGUACUUGGUGUUACUGCGAAGGGGGGACGGAGAAGGCUAUGUUGGCCGGGCGACGGUUGUCCCGGUUUAAGCGUGUAGGCUGGUUUUCCAGGCAAAUCCGGAAAAUCAAGGCUGAGGCGUAACGACGAGGCACUACGGUGCUGAAGCAACAAAUGCCCUGCUUCCAGGAAAAGCCUCUAAGCAUCAGGUAACAUCAAAUCGUACCCCAAACCGACACAGGUGGUCAGGUAGAGAAUACCAAGGCGCUUGAGAGAACUCGGGUGAAGGAACUAGGCAAAAUGGUGCCGUAACUUCGGGAGAAGGCACGCUGACACGUAGGUGAAGUGAUUUACUCAUGGAGCUGAAGUCAGUCGAAGAUACCAGCUGGCUGCA